Long non-coding RNA from Cynoglossus semilaevis (tongue sole), 1385 nucleotides. RefSeq lists it as uncharacterized. NCBI's taxonomy places the organism in Eukaryota, Metazoa, Chordata, Actinopteri, Pleuronectiformes, Cynoglossidae. The transcript is spliced from 7 exons. The record is from RefSeq and is a predicted model, not a curated record.
AUUUAAGUAGAAUGAUGACAGAGCUGCUUUCUCUACUUCUACGUAGGCAGUACAGCAUGUUGUGUUGGUCUACCCUGCGCUCUAGUGGCCAGAAAGGUUCACAACAGUUUAAAAACAUGUGCACUAAAGAGAAGCUAGAUCUAAUACAGAGAGGGGGAAAACAACAACGAAGAAAAAGGGAUUCAAUCAAGGCUUUAAACCUAAGGCGGAGGCUCUCCUGGGUGGUGACAUCACACAGCCGCUGUUACGCCAGUGCUGAUUAACUCAAGAAUACACACACCCCAAACUGCCGGUCUCCUCCCUCCCAUCUCCAGCCUGACAAGCCGUCAACGAGUGAGAGACUGAGAAACUCCUGCUGGUUUUACCCGAGGUCGACCCGAACCGUGGCCACACCUCAGCUCUCGCACGAGGCCCGACAGCUGUGCAAAAGUCAUCACAACAUACGGAACUACAACAGCAGGCGAUGGAGCGACUGUGCCCAAGCCGCACAUCACCCCGCAAUUAACACCAGGCCUCGGACCAACUGCCCAGUCAUCAGAGUACUCACUGCUGAGUAACAGGGUGCAGAGCACAAGAACUACCGUCAUCUUCCUCCAGAGCCCAUUCAUUCUCCACGUGGACACGGCCGUCAUCCUCCCUGGUCAGACUUGUUGUGGGAGCAGAGUAAAAACGUGGAUCCAGACGGUGGACAGUCAUCAGACUGAGCCGGUGCAGCGGUGGAGCCAACGGUCCAUUAUAGACGUCCUUGGUGGAACCGAUGGCCUCGGGGGUUUCUUCACUGCGGCGUAACACACUCACCCAGAGCUCCAGUGGCCGAGCUAAGAGACUCGCAUGAAGACAAACGAUGACAAUUCACUGCGUUACAGCUGAAGGUUAUCACGUUUGGCGCUGAACAGGAGGUUUCAUUCUUCUUCAACUGCAGACUCAGGACCUGGAGAGUCGAAACGCUUCGUCAAAAUCUUACGGGCAAACCAGACGUAGAGUGGGAAGCACUGCAGUCAGACACGGACGCCACACGGAGCAGGAAAUCAAAGGCAUGCAAAAGGGAUCCAACUCCAGAUGAGAAGGAAACCACCCUCCCCCAAACCUCCCCCCCCCGGAAAUGACGAAAGGACGAAAGACACACUUAACUACUGUAAUGUGCCUUUGUCACAAUGGUGACCACAAGAGGAGCUGUUGAGCAGCUGGAGGUCUCUAAAGAACCGAUCCACAGGAGAAAAAAAAAACAAAGGCAUUUAGGUCCAGUUACUCUAAACAAGCAGUGAGGUAUCAGAGGACACAGUCGGUUUGGCUGAAAUGGGAAGACGCUGCAAUUUAAAGGAAGAAUUAUCACGUUUUUCUGCCUGGACUCCUGCAUCUCCGUGUUUAUCGGGGUUCUGGUGAGU